RNAcentral lists this ribosomal RNA (253 nucleotides) under uncultured bacterium. Its description in RNAcentral is "partial 16S ribosomal RNA". It matches the Rfam family "Bacterial small subunit ribosomal RNA", at positions 524 to 776 of the family's 1533-position model. The record is from RNAcentral.
UACGGAGGGUGCAAGCGUUGUCCGGAUUUAUUGGGUUUAAAGGGUACGUAGGCGGUUUAAUAAGUCAGUGGUGAAAGUUUGCAGCUCAACUGUAAAAGUGCCAUUGAUACUGUUAAACUUGAGUACUGUAGAGGCAGGCGGAAUUCCUCAUGUAGCGGUGAAAUGCAUAGAUAUGAGGAGGAACACCAAAAGCGAAGGCAGCUUGCUGGGCAGUAACUGACGCUGAGGUACGAAAGCGUGGGGAGCGAACAGG